UACGUAGGUGGCGAGCGUUGUCCGGAUUUACUGGGCGUAAAGGGAGCGUAGGCGGACUUUUAAGUGAGAUGUGAAAUACCCGGGCUCAACUUGGGUGCUGCAUUUCAAACUGGAAGUCUAGAGUGCAGGAGAGGAGAAUGGAAUUCCUAGUGUAGCGGUGAAAUGCGUAGAGAUUAGGAAGAACACCAGUGGCGAAGGCGAUUCUCUGGACAGUAACUGACGCUGAGGCGCGAAAGCGUGGGGAGCAAACAGGAUUAGAUACCCU
This 265-nucleotide ribosomal RNA is filed under the name uncultured prokaryote. Its description in RNAcentral is "partial 16S ribosomal RNA". It matches the Rfam family "Bacterial small subunit ribosomal RNA", at positions 524 to 788 of the family's 1533-position model. The record is from RNAcentral.